This 253-nucleotide ribosomal RNA is filed under the name uncultured bacterium. Its description in RNAcentral is "partial 16S ribosomal RNA". It matches the Rfam family "Bacterial small subunit ribosomal RNA", at positions 524 to 776 of the family's 1533-position model. The record is from RNAcentral.
GACGAACCGUGCGAACGUUGUUCGGAUUCAUUGGGCGUAAAGGGUGCGUAGGUGGCGCUGUAAGUCGGGUGUGAAAUCCUGAGGCUUAACCUCGGAACUGCAUUCGAUACUGCGGUGCUUGAGGACUGGAGAGGAGACUGGAAUUCAUGGUGUAGCAGUGAAAUGCGUAGAGAUCAUGAGGAAGACCAGUGGCGAAGGCGGGUCUCUGGACAGUUCCUGACGCUGAGGCACGAAGGCCAGGGGAGCAAACGGG